RNAcentral lists this ribosomal RNA (497 nucleotides) under uncultured bacterium. RNAcentral's name for it is "partial 16S ribosomal RNA". It matches the Rfam family "Bacterial small subunit ribosomal RNA", at positions 28 to 507 of the family's 1533-position model. The record is from RNAcentral.
GACGAACGCUGGCGGCGUGCCUAAUACAUGCAAGUUGAGCGCUGAAGGUUGGUACUUGUACCAACUGGAUGAGCAGCGAACGGGUGAGUAACGCGUGGGGAAUCUGCCUUUGAGCGGGGGACAACAUUUGGAAACGAAUGCUAAUACCGCAUAAAAACUUUAAACACAAGUUUUAAGUUUGAAAGAUGCAAUUGCAUCACUCAAAGAUGAUCCCGCGUUGUAUUAGCUAGUUGGUGAGGUAAAGGAUCACCAAGGCGAUGAUACAUAGCCGACCUGAGAGGGUGGUCGGCCACAUUGGGACUGAGACACGGCCCAAACUCCUACGGGAGGCAGCCGUAGGGAAUCUUCGGCAAUGGACGGAAGUCUGACCGAGCAACGCCGCGUGAGUGAAGAAGGUUUUCGGAUCGUAAAACUCUGUUGGUAGAGAAGAACGUUGGUGAGAGUGGAAAGCUCAUCAAGUGACGGUAACUACCCAGAAAGGGACGGCUAACUACGUG